AACGGCUACCACAUCCAAGGAAGGCAGCAGGCGCGCAAAUUACCCACUCCCGGCACGGGGAGGUAGUGACGAAAAAUAACAAUGUUGGUCUACAAGGCCGACAAUUGGAAUGAGUACACUUUAAAUCCUUUAACGAGGAUCCAGUGGAGGGCAAGUCUGGUGCCAGCAGCCGCGGUAAUUCCAGCUCCACGAGCAUGUACGUAAGUUGUUGCAGUUAAAAAGCUCGUAGUUGGAUCUCAGGCUACGUAGCCAGUGGUCUGCUUUACGCAUGCACUGCUGUGCUCGGCCUAUCCUCAGUCUUGUGCCAUGUGCCCUUAACUGGGUGCGUGUGUGCAGCUGAAAAUUUUACUCUGAGAAAAUUAGAGUGCUCAAAGCAGGCCGGUUUCGGCUUGAAUAAUGUUGCAUGGAAUAAUGGAAUAGGACCUCGGUUCUAUUUUGUUGGUUCUCGGAGUCGAGGUAAUGACUAAAAGGGACAGACGGGGGCAUUCGUAUUGCGCUGUUAGAGGUGAAAUUCUUGGAUCGGCGCAAGACGAACAACUGCGAAAGCAUUUGCCAAGGAUGUUUUCAUUAAUCAAGAACGAAAGUCAGAGGUUCGAAGACGAUCAGAUACCGUCGUAGUUCUGACCAUAAACGAUGCCAACUGGCGAUCCGCCGUGCCUUCGUCAAGGAGUCGGCGGGCAGCCUCCGGGAAACCUAAGUCUUGGGUUCCGGGGGAAGUAUGGUUGCAAAGCUGAAA
RNAcentral lists this ribosomal RNA (736 nucleotides) under uncultured Gastrotricha. RNAcentral's name for it is "bacterial SSU rRNA". It matches the Rfam family "Eukaryotic small subunit ribosomal RNA", at positions 402 to 1142 of the family's 1831-position model. Lineage: Eukaryota; Metazoa; Gastrotricha. The record is from RNAcentral.